GGGGUUGUGGCUCAACGAUAGAGCACUCACCUCGCAUGUGUGAGACCCAGGUUCGAUCCUCAGCACCA
Molecule: transfer RNA, 68 nt
Filed under: Ictidomys tridecemlineatus (thirteen-lined ground squirrel)
Lineage: Eukaryota; Metazoa; Chordata; Mammalia; Rodentia; Sciuridae
Description: Spermophilus tridecemlineatus (thirteen-lined ground squirrel) tRNA
Rfam family: tRNA
About the family: Transfer RNA (tRNA) molecules are approximately 80 nucleotides in length. Their secondary structure includes four short double-helical elements and three loops (D, anti-codon, and T loops).
Source: Rfam by way of RNAcentral